This 272-nucleotide ribosomal RNA is filed under the name uncultured bacterium. Its description in RNAcentral is "partial 16S ribosomal RNA". It matches the Rfam family "Bacterial small subunit ribosomal RNA", at positions 333 to 619 of the family's 1533-position model. The record is from RNAcentral.
CUUAGCCUACGGGAGGCAGCAGUGGGGAAUAUUGGGCAAUGGGCGCAAGCCUGACCCAGCAACGCCGCGUGAAGGAAGAAGGCUUUCGGGUUGUAAACUUCUUUUCUCAGGGACGAAGCAAGUGACGGUACCUGAGGAAUAAGCCACGGCUAACUACGUGCCAGCAGCCGCGGUAAUACGUAGGUGGCAAGCGUUAUCCGGAUUUACUGGGUGUAAAGGGCGUGUAGGCGGGAAGCCAAGUCAGCUGUGAAAACUACGGGCUUAACUUUUAG